Molecule: ribosomal RNA, 474 nt
Filed under: uncultured bacterium
Lineage: Bacteria
Description: bacterial SSU rRNA
Rfam family: Bacterial small subunit ribosomal RNA
Source: RNAcentral
AACGAACGCUGGCGGCAUGCCUAACACAUGCAAGUCGAACGAGACCUUCGGGUCUAGUGGCGCACGGGUGCGUAACGCGUGGGAAUCUACCCUUGGGUUCGGAAUAACUCAGAGAAAUUUGAGCUAAUACCGGAUGAUGUCGCAAGACCAAAGAUUUAUCGCCCAAGGAUGAGCCCGCGUAGGAUUAGCUUGUUGGUGAGGUAAAAGCUCACCAAGGCGACGAUCCUUAGCUGGUCUGAGAGGAUGAUCAGCCACACUGGGACUGAGACACGGCCCAGACUCCUACGGGAGGCAGCAGUGGGGAAUAUUGGACAAUGGGCGAAAGCCUGAUCCAGCAAUGCCGCGUGAGUGAUGAAGGCCUUCGGGUUGUAAAGCUCUGUGGAGAGGGACGAAUAAGUGUCGUCGAAUAGACGGCAUGAUGACGGUACCUUUUUAGUCAAGCACCGGCUAACUCUGUGCCAGCAGCCGCGGUAA